Molecule: ribosomal RNA, 279 nt
Filed under: uncultured bacterium
Lineage: Bacteria
Description: partial 16S ribosomal RNA
Rfam family: Bacterial small subunit ribosomal RNA
Source: RNAcentral
UGCCAGCCGCCGCGGUAAUAUGGAGGGGGCUAGCGUUGUUCGGAAUUACUGGGCGUAAAGCGCGCGUAGGCGGAUUGUUAAGUUGGGGGUGAAAUCCCGGGGCCCAACCCCGGAACUGCCCUCAAAACUGGCAGUCUUGAGGACGGAAGAGGCAAGUGGAAUACCGAGUGUAGAGGUGAAAUUCGUAGAUAUUCGGUGGAACACCAGUGGCGAAGGCGGCUAACUGGACUGAUACUGACGCUGAGGUGCGAAAGUGUGGGGAGCAAACAGGAUUAGAUA